GAGGAAGGUGGGGAUGACGUCAAGUCAUCAUGGCCCUUACGAGUAGGGCUACACACGUGCUACAAUGGCGCAUACAAAGAGAAGCGACCUCGCGAGAGCAAGCGGACCUCAUAAAGUGCGUCGUAGUCCGGAUUGGAGUCUGCAACUCGACUCCAUGAAGUCGGAAUCGCUAGUAAUCGUAGAUCAGAAUGCUACGGUGAAUACGUUCCCGGGCCUUGUACACACCGCCCGUCACACCAUGGGAGUGGGUUGCAAAAGAAGUAGGUAGCUUAACCUUCGGGAGGGCGCUUACCACUUUGUGAUUCAUGACUGGGGUGAAGUCGUAACAAGGUAACCGUAGGGGAACCUGCGGUUGGAUCACCUCCUUACCUUAAAGAA
This 378-nucleotide ribosomal RNA is filed under the name Enterobacter sp. ku-bf2. RNAcentral's name for it is "bacterial SSU rRNA". It matches the Rfam family "Bacterial small subunit ribosomal RNA", at positions 1166 to 1533 of the family's 1533-position model. The record is from RNAcentral. Lineage: Bacteria; Pseudomonadati; Pseudomonadota; Gammaproteobacteria; Enterobacterales; Enterobacteriaceae.